UUUAACCACAGAUUUGAUUAUUUUUUAGGGGAAGAAACCCAUUACCCAUGUGGGUAGAUUGACAUACUGUCAGAGACUCAGAGUUAGUGAGACUUGCGUUGGGUUCAAUACUUCACAGAACCGUCCUUUCCCAUUUCUCUAUCUCUCACCCAUCCUCUACUUCUUUAUUCAGAAAGUCCUCAUCCUAUCUUCCUCUUCUUCAUAUUUUCUCCGAAACGGGUUCGAUAUUUUUGCUUAAAGGGUUUGUUCUUUCCUCCCCUGCCUAAACAUCUCUAGCCUUUUUUUCCUUUUUGUUCUCGGAUUUAGUUGUCUUAACAUUGUGGCUUGUUGUGGUUUUUUUUUCUUUGUAGGAUAAUAGGGUUGCUCCAGAUCUUCUCUCUCUGCUUGAUCAUCUUUAGCUCCAGAAGCAAGGAAAUUUGCAGAAUCUAUCUCCAGACUAUCAGGUUCUUUGUUGCCUCUUAAUCUUUAUUUCCUUUCUAUAUUUAUUGGUUUUAUUCCCCAAAAAUUUUUACCUGGUUAAUAUCUAAAUUUCGCCUAUAUUUUUCCUCAUUUAUUUGUCCAUGCUUUCUCCCAAGAUAGAUGCAGCCAAGAGAAGAUCAUCACCGAGAAACAUUGCGUGUAAUUUUGCUUCCUUGGGGUUUGUC
RNAcentral lists this long non-coding RNA (644 nucleotides) under Coffea arabica (coffee). Its description in RNAcentral is "long non-coding RNA (CARA_LNC003132)". The record is from RNAcentral. Lineage: Eukaryota; Viridiplantae; Streptophyta; Magnoliopsida; Gentianales; Rubiaceae.